Macaca fascicularis (crab-eating macaque) is the source of this 2373-nucleotide long non-coding RNA. Lineage: Eukaryota; Metazoa; Chordata; Mammalia; Primates; Cercopithecidae. The record is from Ensembl.
CAUUUUCUUCAAACAUGCAGAAUGUUUUCCCAGACUGCAUCUAUUUCAGGGUCUUCCAUUUUUGUGGUUUAUGGCCAUGCUUGCCAGUUUUGGUGGGGUUGAGGAACCCAUAGGACUCAUAUAAAUAAUAGUGAAAACUCAAACCCUUGUUCUGGGACUUCAGUUCUAGUGGCCCAUAGGGGCAGAGAUCUCAGAAUGAAGUUCGCCUGAGUGAAGGGAGAGUUCCCCUAUAAAAGGUCUAAAAUUGAUUUGGGGCUCAGGCAUCAAGGGGCUGGUGUUGCUCAUGUCCCAGACAAGGAAGCCCCUCUUUACAUCAGCCAUAUUAGGGGAACGGUUGUCAGCUCCCCAAAUGCCUACUGGAUCCUACAGCCAUACAGGAAAACAGAUGGACACAGCCCUUUCCUCAAAGAGCCCUGGGAUCCUGUCCUGCAGGGUGCUGCGUAGGAACGAGCAGAGAUGUCCUGGAUGGGAACAUGGUCCUGGAGGUGCAGGAUUCGCCAUGGUGCAGCCUCCAGGUACAAAGAUCUGAGGCAAUGGCGAUCCCAGGCCUUGCUGCACCCUGAACACAGCUCAGACCGGUGAGGGGUGAUUCAGAGGUGGGGAUGGGCAGAGAGGGCUGGCCACUCUGCCUCAAGACUUGACCUCAAGUCUUCUGUCUCCUGACCUGGUGUGUCCAGAAGACCAUCCUCUUUCUUGCCAGAAGCAAAUGCUAAGAUGGACUGCACAGGGCCCUGGUACUCCCUAGGGACCCAUUCAGGAUCUCAGCUGGGCAGGGGUGCCACCCAACAGGAAGAUGUGAUCUGAGCAAUAGUGUGGCCUUGUUUCUCCACUUCUGGUUGUGGCUGUGUUUACAGGGCUACCUGACUAUUUUCACCUCUGACAGGUGUCACUGAUUUUCUUUCCCCCAUUUAAAAAAGGUCAUUUAGUCAAAGACACAGUGCUAGAAGGUUUAAAGGGUGUGAUGUGUUGGUCACAUCACAACCAGUAAGAAACGCUUUGUAGGUUAUCCACAUCUUUUGCUGACUGUUUCCAUAUACAAUUCUGGUAACCAUAUUUUCCAAAGCUAAAAUCCGAGGCGUGGGCUGAUGGUUUUUGAAAUCAGGAUUACCCCAGGGAGAACCAGGUCCUAUUACUAAUUUUCCUAAUUCUGAGGCUCUGAAGACUUGUCUGAGACACAUUCCAGAGACCUUUGUACCAGAACUUGGAUGCACAGUCCAGCUUACUACUGACACACACCUGAGUACCCUUUAGGGCGAGGUGCCGCCGCCUGCCUGCCGUCGUGUCCCUCAGCAUCAGAAGAGUUGAAUUCGGCCGGAGACGGGAGCCCGGUGUCCAUGAGGGAAGAGGGGCCGCGCUUGGUUUCUACGGAUUUCGGACUUGCAGUGCGGCUACCUGGCCCUGCCCUGCCUCUCUCUUUCUCAUACAGCUUUAAAACUUUACUACUUUUAUUUAAAACCGAACUGGAUGGGAGAGAAGUAGCUUCCCCUACCCUACAAGUCACACAUUCCCGAGAGGGGGUGGGGGGUGGAGGCAGGAAGUCCGGGGGUGGGGUGGGGGGCGAACAGCUUGCUUAAGGCCUCAGGGUCCUGCUUUCUCCAGCCUCUUCUGAAGGGCCUGUGGACAGGCCACAGCGCCUGCUUAUUUGGAAACUAGGUGUGUGAGCCGAAUGCCUGCGAGGCCACACACUCAGCACAGGAGCCCCCCUGUAUCUGGCUGCCCUGAGAGGAGCAAGGGCCACCUCCCAUGUGGCUCUAGACACCCCGCGGGCCCAUCAGCCCCAGUGUCUGAGCGGGCUCCACCCCGGUGCCGAGUGCUGGGGCCUCUGGGGCUGGUCGGCCUCAGCAGGAAGGAGGCACUACUGAGCAACUAUGCAUUGUCAUUGUCGGGUUUGGGGCUUGCGGUGGUUCCUUGGUGACUGGGAAUUGCUUGUGUGCAUGUGUUGGGUGCAUGCUUCCGGGCCUCAGCUGCCUCAGGCCCGCACAGGCAACCCUUUCCCAUCCAAAGCCAUUGGUGGAGCUUCUCUGGAAUCGUUUGCCAAAAGCCCAAGGCAGAAUCCAAGGGUCCAAGACCAUUUCCAUGGAGCUCAUGUUUUUCUUUUUUGUAGGAACUUUUUUUUAACCAGCACCCACCAUAAUUCUGAAGGCCAUGUUUCAUCUUCCUGGAUCACUACAGUGAAGUAUUACAGUUGUACAGUUCCCAGUCUGGCCUUGGCUUGCUCGGAUAAAACUUUGUAUGUAUUUUGUAUGGCAUAGAUUCUAUAUUGUAAUGAUGUCCUAUGCAAAAAGAAAAAUUAACGAAAUUGUAAAUUUUAUUGUUUUAACGUGUAUGCAUGUUUAGUGACGUUUACAUUUUGAAAUAAAAUUUAUGAUUCAU